This is a long non-coding RNA of Alligator mississippiensis (American alligator), 1570 nucleotides long. RefSeq lists it as uncharacterized. NCBI's taxonomy places the organism in Eukaryota, Metazoa, Chordata, Crocodylia, Alligatoridae. The transcript has 3 exons. The record is from RefSeq and is a predicted model, not a curated record.
AUCUAACAACGCAGUCUGGGCUCUGUGCCAAAGGCUGGUAUUUCACAGCAGCGACCGCCUUACAGAUGAGCUGUGGGAAGCAGGAGGGAGACUCUCUUAGGGUGCCACUACUAUGGAGACACAGCUGGGCUGAACAAGAUUUGCUUCAAACGACAACAAGAGAGACAGAAAGUGUCUGGUUCGACCGCUGCCCAAGCAGGCAGUAACCAGAAGAGCUAGCAGCCAAUCCGGCCAUGCUGCACUGUUCGAAACCAGCUCCACAUCUCAGCCAAUCAGUGACAUCAUUGAGGCCAGGGAAUUGCCUGUCCAAUCCAUCUCUCCACUUGCUGCUGAAGAACAUUCUGCCAUGGUUGUCCUCAUUCAAAAACAGUCCGACUCACUGGGAUAGAAGGCUAUCACCAUCCAUCAAAAGCUUCACCAUCAGUCUUGAAGCAUUUCAGCCCAUGUUGAAAGAGGGAGAAGGGGACAUACGCAUGAUAUUUGGCUAGGCAUAUAUACAGGGUGAAGGGAUGAAGUCUGAGGAGGAAUAAGAUGGAGUACUACUUGUAAUAUGGGACACUGAAGAAAGAAUGACAUGGAACUGGCUGUACGGAUGGUCCUAGUGGGAUGCUGAUCACCUAAUUUCCAUAACAGUAUUGAACAUUUAGUACUUCGUACACCAGGUAUGCUUGGUCUCUAAUUCUUUUGGGGUGUUGCCAGACUCUGCAAAUAUACAGGAGUUUGAAGUAUGUUCAAUACUGUGGUUAUAUCAGGCUUCCUUUUCUGCUGAAGUCAUGUGCCUAUAGACUUUGUUUUCAGAUUUGGAUCUGACCACCAUCAUCCAUACUUUUGUAACUUCAAGGCUGGACUACUGCUGUGUAGGGCUGUGUGAAACAACACCAUUUUGUUUCAACUUCUAUUUCACCAUUUUGAAGGAAUAGUGCUUUGUUUUGUCAUUUUGUUUCAUUUUGAAGCACUGUCCCAUUUCGUUUCAUUGAAACCUUUUCUCUGUUUCAACGCAUUUUGAUGUUUUGCUCAUAGGCUAUAAUGGGGAAUCAUGAAAAUGCCUAUAACUUUGUCGUUUCUUGACUGAUUCAGAAGAAAAUUGCAGAGAUGGUAUCCCCUUCUAAGGGUAAGAAGUCUGACAAGUUUCAAAAAGAUAGGUGCAUGGGUUCCAGGGAAACUGCACCUCACAGUGCUGAGAGCAAAACUCGUAUCACUUGCUGGCAGCGGCAGACUGCUGUCAUCCUAUGCACAGAUCUGGGGGCCCACACUACACAGGAGGGCUGUGCCAGACUUCUCCUGGGGGUGCGGGCUCCUGGAUCUGCACAUGGGAUGACAGGAGAUUGCUGUUGUCAUCUGGGACCAGCGCUGGGUACAGCCCGCAACCAGUACCAGGAAAUUUGCUGCUGCUGCUGGUCCCUGUCAUCCCACACAGGUCUGGGGGUCUGCACUCCUGGGAGGAGUCCAGCAGCACUGGGAGGGCAAGUUGAGCUCUGUGGCGCUGGUGGAGCUGCUCGGCGUGCAGCCCUGACUCUCCUGGCCUCCCACCACCAGGCUGCACUCUGAGCGGCUCCUCCAGCCCCAUAGA